GGGAAUGUGGCUUAGUGGUAGAGUGCUUGCUUAGCAUGCAUUAAGCCCUGGGUUCAAUUCCUCAGUACCA
RNAcentral lists this transfer RNA (70 nucleotides) under Dipodomys ordii (Ord's kangaroo rat). It matches the Rfam family "tRNA". Rfam says of the family: Transfer RNA (tRNA) molecules are approximately 80 nucleotides in length. Their secondary structure includes four short double-helical elements and three loops (D, anti-codon, and T loops). The record is from Rfam by way of RNAcentral. Lineage: Eukaryota; Metazoa; Chordata; Mammalia; Rodentia; Heteromyidae.